This 88-nucleotide transfer RNA is filed under the name Chitinophagaceae bacterium. RNAcentral describes it as "tRNA-Ser". It matches the Rfam family "tRNA". Rfam says of the family: Transfer RNA (tRNA) molecules are approximately 80 nucleotides in length. Lineage: Bacteria; Pseudomonadati; Bacteroidota; Chitinophagia; Chitinophagales; Chitinophagaceae. The record is from RNAcentral.
GGAGAGAUGGCAGAGUGGUCGAUUGCGGCGGUCUUGAAAACCGUUGUGCCGUAAGGUACCGUGGGUUCGAAUCCUACUCUCUCCGCCU